GAUGAACGCUGGCGGCGUGCUUAACACAUGCCAGUCGAGCGAUGAAGCCCAGCUUGCUGGGUGGAUUAGUGGCGAACGGGUGAGUAAAACCCGAGUAAACUGCCCCUAACUCUGGGAUAAGCCUGGGAAACUGGGUCUAAUAUCGGAUAGGAGCGUUCACCGCAUGGUGGGGGUUGGAAAGAUUUAUCGGUUUUGGAUGGACUCGCGGCCUAUCAGCUUGUUGGUGAGGUAAUGGCUCACCAAGGCGACGACGGGUAGCCGGCCUGAGAGGGUGACCGGCCACACUGGGACUGAGACACGGCCCAGACUCCUACGGGAGGCAGCAGUGGGGAAUAUUGCACAAUGGGCGCAAGCCUGAUGCAGCGACGCCGCGUGAGGGAUGACGGCCUUCGGGUUGUAAACCUCUUUCAGUAGGGAAGAAGCGAAAGUGACGGUACCUGCAGAAGAAGCACCGGCUAACUACGUG
RNAcentral lists this ribosomal RNA (466 nucleotides) under uncultured bacterium. RNAcentral describes it as "partial 16S ribosomal RNA". It matches the Rfam family "Bacterial small subunit ribosomal RNA", at positions 28 to 507 of the family's 1533-position model. The record is from RNAcentral.